This 487-nucleotide ribosomal RNA is filed under the name uncultured bacterium. RNAcentral's name for it is "partial 16S ribosomal RNA". It matches the Rfam family "Bacterial small subunit ribosomal RNA", at positions 355 to 830 of the family's 1533-position model. The record is from RNAcentral.
UGGGGAAUUUUGGACAAUGGGCGAAAGCCUGAUCCAGCAAUGCCGCGUGUGUGAAGAAGGCCUUCGGGUUGUAAAGCACUUUUGUCCGGAAAGAAAUCCUUGGCUCUAAUACAGUCGGGGGAUGACGGUACCGGAAGAAUAAGCACCGGCUAACUACGUGCCAGCAGCCGCGGUAAUACGUAGGGUGCAAGCGUUAAUCGGAAUUACUGGGCGUAAAGCGUGCGCAGGCGGUUUGCUAAGACCGAUGUGAAAUCCCGGGCUCAACCUGGGAACUGCAUUGGUGACUGGCAGGCUAGAGUAUGGCAGAGGGGGGUAGAAUUCCACGUGUAGCAGUGAAAUGCGUAGAGAUGUGGAGGAAUACCGAUGGNGAAGGCAGCCCCCUGGGCCAAAUACUGACGCUCAUGCACGAAAAGCGUGGGGGAGCAAAACAGGAUUAGAUACCCUGGUAGUCCACGCCCUAAAACGAUGUCAACUAGGUUGUUGGGGG